This is a non-coding RNA of Sturnus vulgaris (Common starling), 100 nucleotides long. Lineage: Eukaryota; Metazoa; Chordata; Aves; Passeriformes; Sturnidae. The record is from RefSeq and is a predicted model, not a curated record.
UUGGACAGGGCUUGGAGCAAUCUGCUCUGGGGGAAGGUGCCCCUGCUCAUGGCAGGGGGGUGGAACAAGAUGGGCUUUAAGGUCCCUUCUGACCCAAACC